CACGUAGGGGGCGAGCGUUGUCCGGAUUUAUUGGGCGUAAAGAGCUCGUAGGCGGUUCGGCAAGUCGGGUGUGAAAUUUCGAGGCUCAACCUCGAAACGCCACUCGAUACUGCUGUGACUGGAGUCCGGUAGAGGAGUGCGGAAUUCCGUGGUGUAGCGGUGAAAUGCGCAGAUAUCAGGAGGAACACCAACGGCGAAGGCAG
RNAcentral lists this ribosomal RNA (203 nucleotides) under uncultured bacterium. RNAcentral describes it as "partial 16S ribosomal RNA". It matches the Rfam family "Bacterial small subunit ribosomal RNA", at positions 524 to 724 of the family's 1533-position model. The record is from RNAcentral.